RNAcentral lists this ribosomal RNA (274 nucleotides) under uncultured bacterium. Its description in RNAcentral is "partial 16S ribosomal RNA". It matches the Rfam family "Bacterial small subunit ribosomal RNA", at positions 523 to 796 of the family's 1533-position model. The record is from RNAcentral.
AUACGGAGGGUGCAAGCGUUACUCGGAAUCACUGGGCGUAAAGCGCGCGCAGGCGGCCAUUUAAGUUGGAUGUGAAAGCCUACGGCUCAACCGUAGAACUGCAUCCAAAACUAUUUGGCUAGAGUGUGGGAGAGGAAGGUGGAAUUAGUUGUGUAGGGGUAAAAUCCGUAGAGAUAACUAGGAAUACCAAAAGCGAAGGCAAUCUUCUGGAACAUUACUGACGCUGAGGCGCGAAAGCGUGGGGAGCAAACAGGAUUAGAAACCCCGGUAGUCC